AGGUUAAGCACUUAUGGUGUGGAGCCGAAGGGAAACCGAGUCUGAAUAGGGCAACUAGUUGUAUAUUGUAGACCCGAAACCGGGUGACCUAUCCAUGGCCAGGAUGAAGCGGAAGUAAAAUUCCGUGGAGGUCCGAACCACGUUGGUGUUGAAAAACCAUGGGAUGAGCUGUGGAUAGCGGAGAAAUUCCAAUCGAACUCGGAGAUAGCUGGUUCUCCUCGAAAUAGCUUUAGGGCUAGCGUCGGGUAAUUGAGUAGUGGAGGUAGAGCACUGAAUGGGCUAGGGGCUGACAACAGUUACUGAACCCUAUCAAACUCCGAAUGCCAUAUACUUGUACCCCGGCAGUCAGACUACGAAUGAUAAGAUCCGUGGUCAAAAGGGAAACAGCCCAGACCAUCAGCUAAGGUCCCAAAGUGUAAGUUAAGUGGGAAAGGAUGUGGGAUUUCUAAGACAACUAGGAUGUUGGCUUAGAAGCAGCCACUCAUUUAAAGAGUGCGUAAUAGCUCACUAGUCGAGAGAUCCUGCGCCGAAGAUGUAACGGGGCUCAAACUUACCACCGAAGCUAUGGAUGUGUACUAUGUACACGUGGUAGAGGAGCUUUCUGUACAGGUUGAAGUCAUACCGUAAGGAGUGGUGGACAGUACAGAAGUGAGAAUGCUGGCAUAAGUAGCGAAAAACAAGUGAGAAUCUUGUUGACCGAAUAUCUAAGGUUUCCUGGGGAAGGCUCGUCCUCCCAGGGUUAGUCGGGACCUAAGCCGAGGCCGAAAGGCGUAGGUGAUGGACAACUGGUUGAUAUUCCAGUACCACCAUAAUGCGUUUGACAAAUGGGAUGACGCAGGAGGAUAGGAUGUGCGCACUAUUGGAUGUGCGUCUAAGCACUUAGGGUGUUAAGUAGGCAAAUCCGCUUAACAUUAAGCCUGAGGUGUGAUGGGGAGCCUAUUUUGGCGAAGUAUCUGAUUCCACGCUGCCAAGAAAAGUCUCUAUGGAGCAAAAUGGUGCCCGUACCGCAAACCGACACAGGUAGAUGAGGAGAGAAUCCUAAGGUCGUCGGAAGAAUUAUUGCUAAGGAACUCGGCAAAUUGACCCCGUAACUUAGGGAGAAGGGGUGCCUACGAGAGUAGGCCGCAGUGAAUAGGCUCAAGCAACUGUUUAUCAAAAACACAGGUCUCUGCUAAAGCGUAAGCUGAUGUAUAGGGGCUGACGCCUGCCCGGUGCUGGAAGGUUAAGGGGAAUAGUUAGCGCAAGCGAAGCUAUGAACUUAAGCCCCAGUAAACGGCGGCCGUAACUAUAACGGUCCUAAGGUAGCGAAAUUCCUUGUCGGGUAAGUUCCGACCCGCACGAAUGGCGUAAUGAUUUGAGCACUGUCUCGGCAAUAAAUCCGGUGAAAUUGUAGUGCAAGUGAAGAUGCUUGCUACCCGCGGUUGGACGGAAAGACCCCGUAGAGCUUUACUGUAGCUUAGCAUUGAAUUUCGGUAUUGUCUGUACAGGAUAGGUGGGAGACUUAGAAGCGAGGGCGUCAGCUUUCGUGGAGUCGUCCUUGGGAUACCACCCUGACAGUACUGGAAUUCUAACUGGAGGCCAUGAAUCUGGUCACAGGACAUUGCUAGGUGGGCAGUUUGACUGGGGCGGUCGCCUCCUAAAAGGUAACGGAGGCGCCCAAAGGUUCCCUCAGCGCGGUCGGAAAUCGCGCGUAGAGUGCAAAGGCAGAAGGGAGCCUGACUGCGACACAUACAGGUGGAGCAGGGACGAAAGUCGGGCUUAGUGAUCCGGUGGUUCUGUAUGGAAGGGCCAUCGCUCAACGGAUAAAAGCUACCUCGGGGAUAACAGGCUGAUCUCCCCCAAGAGUCCACAUCGACGGGGAGGUUUGGCACCUCGAUGUCGGCUCGUCGCAUCCUGGGGCUGUAGUCGGUCCCAAGGGUUGGGCUGUUCGCCCAUUAAAGCGGCACGCGAGCUGGGUUCAGAACGUCGUGAGACAGUUCGGUCCCUAUCCGCCGUGGGCGUAGGAAAUUUGAGAGGAGCUGUCCUUAGUACGAGAGGACCGGGAUGGACCAACCUCUGGUGCACCAGUUGUUCCGCCAGGAGCACAGCUGGGUAGCUAUGUUGGGAAGGGAUAAACGCUGAAAGCAUCUAAGCGUGAAGCCCACCUCAAGAUUAGAUUUCCCAUAGCGUAAGCUAGUAAGACCCCUGAAAGACUAUCAGGUUGAUAGGUUGGAGGUGUAAGUACAGUAAUGUAUUCAGCUGACCAAUACUAAUAGGUCGAGGGCUUGAUCAAAUU
This 2275-nucleotide ribosomal RNA is filed under the name Clostridium botulinum C/D. Its description in RNAcentral is "partial 23S ribosomal RNA". It matches the Rfam family "Bacterial large subunit ribosomal RNA", at positions 643 to 2925 of the family's 2925-position model. The record is from RNAcentral. Lineage: Bacteria; Bacillati; Bacillota; Clostridia; Eubacteriales; Clostridiaceae.